AUUGAACGCUGGCGGCAUGCCUUACACAUGCAAGUCGAACGGCAGCGCGGGGCAACCUGGCGGCGAGUGGCGAACGGGUGAGUAAUGUAUCGGAACAUACCCUAGAGUGGGGGGAUAACGUAGCGAAAGUUACGCUAAUACCGCAUACGCACUAAGGUGGAAAGUGGGGGAUCUUCGGACCUCAUGCUCAUGGAGUGGCCGAUAUCUGAUUAGCUAGUUGGUGAGGUAAAGGCUCACCAAGGCGACGAUCAGUAGCUGGUUUGAGAGAACGACCAGCCACACUGGAACUGAGACACGGUCCAGACUCCUACGGGAGGCAGCAGUGGGGAAUUUUGGACAAUGGGGGCAACCCUGAUCCAGCAAUGCCGCGUGAGUGAAGAAGGCC
This 385-nucleotide ribosomal RNA is filed under the name uncultured bacterium. RNAcentral describes it as "bacterial SSU rRNA". It matches the Rfam family "Bacterial small subunit ribosomal RNA", at positions 30 to 416 of the family's 1533-position model. The record is from RNAcentral.